This 119-nucleotide small nuclear RNA is filed under the name Helianthus annuus (common sunflower). Its description in RNAcentral is "U5 spliceosomal RNA". It matches the Rfam family "U5 spliceosomal RNA". Rfam says of the family: U5 RNA is a component of both types of known spliceosome. The precise function of this molecule is unknown, though it is known that the 5' loop is required for splice site selection and p220 binding, and that both the 3' stem-loop and the Sm site are important for Sm protein binding and cap methylation. The record is from RNAcentral. Lineage: Eukaryota; Viridiplantae; Streptophyta; Magnoliopsida; Asterales; Asteraceae.
AGCCACGUAGUGAGCACAAAGCGAACUAUUCUUUCGCCUUUUACUAAAGAAUACCGUGUGUUCGCUGCUUUUAAGUGGCAUACGCCUAUUUUUGGAGAGUCCCUUUUUUAUUAAAGGGC